RNAcentral lists this transfer RNA (75 nucleotides) under Elusimicrobiota bacterium. RNAcentral describes it as "tRNA-His". It matches the Rfam family "tRNA". From Rfam's summary of the family: Transfer RNA (tRNA) molecules are approximately 80 nucleotides in length. The record is from RNAcentral. Lineage: Bacteria; Pseudomonadati; Elusimicrobiota.
GUGGGUGUAGCUCAAUGGUAGAGCACAUGGUUGUGGUCCAUGUGGUUGCGGGUUCAAAUCCCGUCAUCCACCCCA